Sarcophilus harrisii (Tasmanian devil) is the source of this 1855-nucleotide long non-coding RNA. RefSeq lists it as uncharacterized. The record is from RefSeq and is a predicted model, not a curated record. The transcript is spliced from 3 exons. Lineage: Eukaryota; Metazoa; Chordata; Mammalia; Dasyuromorphia; Dasyuridae.
GAACCACAGCUUUGGACAAAAGUCUAGAGUCUGUGCGUUGGUAACUCCCGGUGCACGCACAAGGGCUGACUGGGGCUGUGGGAAGACAUUUUACUUAUUUGCCUUCUCCUUUCUUCCAGUCAUCUUGUCCCUCUCCUCAGGUGUUGCUCACCUAUUAUCAUUUCACCUGUCCUGGUCCUCUGUGGGGGAAAAUCCUGGGACUUGUCAGCUGGCCUAGGUCUCAUAAAAGACAGCUCUGUUCAGGGGUUGGAAAGGGGCUCGCGGUGGCAAAGCUAGGCUAGGACUUGGAGGCUUCUGGCAGGCGAGGCGGGUGGAGGAGGAAGGAGGCUGACAGAUCCACUGGGGGGAAGAAAAGCCGAACUGGAUUCACCGUGUCCUGGAUGGAAAAAAGAAGAGGAGGAAAAAGAGAAGGAGGAGGAAGAGGAGGUGGAGGAGGAAGAAGAGGAGGUGGAGGUGGAGGAGGAAGAGAAGGAGGAGGAGGAAGAGGAGAAGGAGGAGGAGGAGGAGGAAGAGAAGGAGGAGGAGGACAGAGAGGGGAACCGCUGAGCUCCUUCAACUCGAGCUGUCCGGUGAGAAGUAAGCAAGCCGGGACUGACAGGAGGCUCGGGGAGCACUCGCCUCCUUUCGCUUUUUUACCUGCCAAUCAAACCGCUAGAAGACAACACCCCGAUCUGGCUUGGACAUGACCUACAAGAUCUAGUGAUGAUGGAGGAGCCUUUGCAGCCUUCCAGAAAAUCAAGGUUCUGAAAAGUGGAAGAAAAAAAAUUGUCCGGGAAGAGUCACAGGAAAGUAACCAUUUUUUCUUCUUUGAAAGCUUGUGGGAAUGCAGUAAUAAUUAAAGAAACCUGGAGUUCAGGAUGCCCAGAUUUCCAAGCAAUUAGAAAGCUGAUUUCAUGGUGUCCCCAGAUGAGCAGCUUUUAAAAUUCUAAUUUCAGGCUGUCCUCCAUAACAAUUCUCAGUGAGAUUCAGUAAACCACGUAAAAUGGUUAGCCAUUUGGGCUUGAACAUCAUUUGGGGAACUUUGUACAAGAUUCCAUCAGGCAGAAAAUGGGGAAGAGAAAGGUCCCCUCCUUUAAUGUCCAUUUUGGUAGAAAUAAAGGGCACAUUGUAUUUUUCUCUCUCAGGUCCUGUUUGAUUCCUGAGCAUCAUCAUGUAUCAUAUACAUUAUUUUCACUAAUACCUUUCAUGAGAGACAGAACUGACAAUUAAUACCCACACCUAUACUACUGCUAAUGUAGUUUCAUUUUCUUUUCCUUUUAAUUCUCCUGUUUAACAAGAAUUUGGGCAAAGCAAACCAAAUACUAUUCCCACAGGAGAAAAACAAACAAAGAAAAGCAGGGGCAUUUUUACUAGUGCAAAAUAACCAUUUUGUUCAUUUUUAUUUUUAAAUUUGAGCAUGCUAAAUUGAUGAAUAUUUCCAAGUUGUUUUCUCUUUCUUAUUUGUAUUUUUUGCUUUUCUUUAAAAAAAAAAAGGGGGGGGGAGAAAUCAGCUAUAAUAACAGCAUUCAAAUAGAUCCAGGAAGUCAGAGUAAAUGCUACAUAUUUUAAGAGCCCAUUGGGGGUGGUGUUUACCAUCCCUGUCAAAUGCUAACUCAGAAAGCUCAGCCCACUCCACCACCACCCCCCCAUUCUAACUUUUGAAUGUUGGGAGACUAUGCAAGUGCAAACCUUUGGGGGCAGGGGUGGAUGUUAAGGGAGCAGGCUUAAUAUUAACAGCUUUUGUGGUCCAAGAGCCCGGUCUAUCAGUUCCUACUGAAGUAGUGCUGAGGACUCAAACACUUUCAUUCUUUAUCUUGCAUCUCUGCAAGGUGGAUUUUAACUUUUUUUUUCUGGAUUUUUUUUUUUUUUAAUUUUC